RNAcentral lists this ribosomal RNA (586 nucleotides) under Fagisyrphus cinctus. Its description in RNAcentral is "eukaryotic LSU rRNA". The record is from RNAcentral. Lineage: Eukaryota; Metazoa; Arthropoda; Insecta; Diptera; Syrphidae.
AGUACGUGAAACUGCUUAGAGGUUAAGCCCGAUGAACCUGAAUAUCCAUUAUGGAAAAUUCAUCACUAAUAAUAUGAUAUUUAUAAUAUUGUAUAAAUAGUGUGCAAUUUUUCCAUAUAAGGACAUUGUAAUCUGUUAAUGUAAUAAAUAUUUAUCAAAAGAUUCAUUACUUAAGUUUAUUCAAAUUAGUUAUUUUCGGAUUUCUAACAUAGAAUAAAUGUUUUGAAUUUGAUAAAUCAUUGACAGAUAUAAUUAAAUAAUGUGCUUAAAUUUUUCGGAAUUUUAUCAAUGAUAAAUAAAUCUAUUGAUUUGUUUAUUUAUUGUAUGCACUAUUAUGAUUAACAAUGCGAUAGAUUCAGGAUACCUUCGGGACCCGUCUUGAAACACGGACCAAGGAGUCUAACAUAUGUGCAAGUCAUUGGGUAUUUUUAAUAAAACCCAAUGGCGUAAUUAACUUAACUGUUAUUUAUAAUGGGAUUAGUUUAUAUUUUGUUAUGAAAUAUGAAUCCAAUCCCGGGGCGUUCUAUAUAGUUAUGUAUAAUGAUAUUUAUAUUAUUUAUGCCUCUAACUAGAGCGUACCUUGAGC